GAAUGCUGACAUAAGUAACGAUAAAGCGGGUGAAAAGCCCGCUCGCCGGAAGACCAAGGGUUCCUGUCCAACGUUAAUCGGGGCAGGGUGAGUCGACCCCUAAGGCGAGGCCGAAAGGCGUAGUCGAUGGGAAACGGGUUAAUAUUCCCGUACUUGGUGUUACUGCGAAGGGGGGACGGAGAAGGCUAUGUUGGCCGGGCGACGGUUGUCCCGGUUUAAGCGUGUAGGUGUGUGUUCCAGGUAAAUCCGGUUCACUU
RNAcentral lists this ribosomal RNA (257 nucleotides) under Salmonella enterica subsp. enterica serovar Muenchen. RNAcentral describes it as "partial 23S ribosomal RNA". It matches the Rfam family "Bacterial large subunit ribosomal RNA", at positions 1292 to 1552 of the family's 2925-position model. The record is from RNAcentral. Lineage: Bacteria; Pseudomonadati; Pseudomonadota; Gammaproteobacteria; Enterobacterales; Enterobacteriaceae. RNAcentral also lists the same sequence under 4 other names.